CGCGGUAAUUCCAGCUCCAAUAGCGUAUACUAAAGUGUUGCAGUUAAAAAGCCCGUAGUUGGAUUUCUGGCGGGGACGGCUGGUCGGUCUCGAAAGGGGCUGUACUGUUCUUGGUUCCCGUCAUCCUUGGGGAGAGCGGCUCUUACAUUAAGUUGUCGGCGUCGGGAUCCCUAUCUUUUACUGUGAAAAAAUUAGAGUGUUCAAAGCAGGCUUAGGCCCUGAAUACAUUAGCAUGGAAUAAUAAGAUACGACCUUGGUGGUCUAUUUUGUUGGUUUGCACGCUAAGGUAAUGAUUAAUAGGGAUAGUUGGGGGUAUUCGUAUUCAAUUGUCAGAGGUGAAAUUCUUGGAUUUAUGGAAGACGAACUACUGCGAAAGCAUUUACCAAGGAUGUUUUCAUUAAUCAAGAACGAAAGUUAGGGGAUCGAAGAUGAUUAGAUACCAUCGUAGUCUUAACCAUAAACUAUGCCGACUAGGGAUCGGUGGGUGCAUUUUUAGGCCUCAUCGGCACCUUAUGAGAAAUCAAAGUCUUUGGGUUCCGGGGGGAGUAUGGUCGCAAGGCUGAAACUUAAAGAAAUUGACGG
This 582-nucleotide ribosomal RNA is filed under the name uncultured Eustigmatophyceae. RNAcentral describes it as "SSU rRNA". It matches the Rfam family "Eukaryotic small subunit ribosomal RNA", at positions 575 to 1159 of the family's 1831-position model. The record is from RNAcentral. Lineage: Eukaryota; Eustigmatophyceae.